ACACACAAGCCUCCUCUCUUCUCUCCCCCCGGCUCGCCGCCACCGCCGCCACCACUCAUGACGGCCGAUUCCGGCGAGUACCAGCGGCGGGUGGCAGAUCAACGACCUCCCCACGCCCCGCUCCUUCCUCCCAUCCCUCCUGAUCCGACGAGGGCGGAGGUGGCGCCUCGUCCGACUCCUCCUCCCCGUCCUCAUCCUCCUCAUUCUCUGCCGCCACCGCCUCCUCCUCCAGCGCCCCUCCAGCGGCCGCAGCAACAGCCCCGACGGCGGCGGCGGGGAGUACAACUUGUUCGGCGUCGUGCCCGUCAGGCCGGCCGCCGGGUACGGGGACGAGGAGGAAGAGGACGCGAGAGAUUUGUUCGGCUCCGACAACGAGGAGUACUUCAAGACCCCCCGCGUAGCAACUACCUAAUUCCAGCGCGAGAUGCGACAACUCAUCUGGCCGGAGGAGAACAUGGCAGCGGAAUCUCCUGGUGACGGCGGUGGGGCAGGCAAUGCUUCAAGGCGACGGGCUGAGGCGGCGGUGCAGGGAUCCGCUCGGUCUGUUGUUGUUGCUGAGGGCGGAUGGAGCAGCCGGGGCAGGUUCGUCCGUGAUGCCAAGUUUAUUUUUAGAAGGGAUUUGAGAUGGCGCCCGACAUUAUAGUAAGUACAAGACUGUUGCUGAAUGAUUGGUGUGUGCAACCAGACCUCCGUCCACUUGUUUCAUCGUUUGAACAUUCACCGGUUCUUGAGAAUCUGACGCUUCAAUUGCGUAAGGUACAACUAAGCCUAACUCAUCUGGUUCUUGAACCUCUCCACCAACUUCUUUCAAGGGGAGAUCCUGAAUGUCGGCAUCCUUGGACCUUCGAAAGCAGUUGUAAGCUUAACUCUAGCCUCAUCUCAUUCCACCUUGUGUGUCCUUUAUGAUCUCAGCAGAUGUUAUAAAUAUGAAUGAUUGGUAUCUAUUAGCUUGUACCACAAGUCCACAACUGUAUUGGCUUGUACCACAAGUCCACAACUGUACUGGAUCAGAUUGUGCUCUGGUGCAUUUCAAAUGAUGCAGGUAUGUCGAAAAUCUGGAGCUUUGCAGGCUGCCCAUCCAUAAGGGUUGCCGUGGAAUCCUCGGGUUCCCUCCAGUGCUGCCGCAGAAAAUGAUCUUAUGCUAGAUUGAUUGUUCAAGUAUUUGAUUACUGAUAGGAACAGUCAGCUUAUUUUAUUUUGUAAAAAGACAGGAACAAUAUCCAGUACGAUUGACUUCUUCUGUAACAGCUUCAUUGAGGAGCUCAAAGGUCGUGACUGUGACUGUUCUUAGGCCAAUACUUUCAUUUGUUGUUAGGUCAACACUACAUACAACAGCUCUAUCCAGCAAAUUUUCUUUUGAUUUUGCUUUGUUCUAUUGAUCAGAUUUUCCAAGUCAUUUUUCCUUCGAGGUAUUUAGCAUUGCCAAAUUUAUAUAUUUACCUAAAUUUAAUCUUGACUCGAUUUGCUGUGGUCAAUACAAGCAUGAUGCCUUUUCUUUUCUAUAAAGUGGAUGCAGGGUUAGUUUACUAUGCUGAUCCGAGCGAGCGUCAGGCGCGCAAAGCUCACCGUCCACAUGCCUCCUCUUCGUCUGCAUCCGCAGUGCCAAAUCGCUCCCCAUCCGAGCAGGAACAAAUGUUUACAGAUCACACGACUACUCCACAAUCUAAAACACACUGAGUAUUUUGAAGUUGGUUGUUCAAGCAGACACAAUGUGCACUGACAAAAGAUGGCAGGAACAAUGGUACACAGUCAUGAUAUAAUAACGUUGUAGAUAGAUGGAGACUGAAUUAGUUCACAUUACUUUGAUGUCUAUUGAGCCAAUGGAACAACAAAGUCCUUGCAGAAAAUAAGAACCGGAAGCAGGUUUUCUAUCUUCACCAGUAUUUCCUUGUUUCUAAUUGUUGGCUUUUUCCUAUGGCCUAAGUUCAACGAACUGCUCUGAAAGGGGAUGUUGAGGGUGACGACGCCGCCGAGCAAGUCGGCGUCUGUAAAGCUUUGCCGGAGCCAUUCCAGCUCUUUCAGAGCCACAAGGUGAGCCGGAAGUCCGUGCAAGGAAGCCGAGGAACUAGGACGCCAACAGUGCGGAGCUGUUUGCCAUCGAGAGGACUAGGACUGCCAUCAGGGACCUCUAAACCAAGCUCAACAUCUCCCUCGCGCCAACAUCCACACCGUGUCCUGGACGGUCGUCGCCGUCUGUGACGGCGAGCUACUGCCGCCGCAUCGUCAGUGCGGAGCCGUUUGCCAUCGAGAGGACUAGGGCUGCCAUCAGGGACCUCUAAACCAAGCUCAACAUCUCCCUCGCGCCAACAUCCACACCAUGUCCCGGAGGUUCGUCGCCGUCUGUGACGGCGAGCUACUGCCGCCGCAUCGUCAGCCGCACGGUUAGAGGGAGGUAUCGCUGCCAGGGCCGACAUGCGUGUAAUUUCUAUUAAUGUAUCUUAUGUUGCCAAACAGAAACAUGCUCCUAUCGAUGCUAUAUCGUUGUGGGCGUGGCAUUUCAGUUUCUUCCUCAGACGAUGUUCCAAUAUAAUAAGUUCCAUCAAGAAUUGCAUGUACAUGUCCUGCUAUCUUGAUCCAAAAAGGAAAAUAAA
Non-coding RNA from Triticum urartu, 2591 nucleotides. The record is from RefSeq and is a predicted model, not a curated record. NCBI's taxonomy places the organism in Eukaryota, Viridiplantae, Streptophyta, Magnoliopsida, Poales, Poaceae.